CUGAUAAUAUACAUAAUGGUUUCUUUCAUAUACAUAACAUACAUACAGUUUGACUAGAAAUAAAAUAUAACACCAUUAACUAACACAACUGGUCUUUCUUUUUGAUGAGCUCAUUUCCAUUUCCUAUUACUAAUACAUAUAAUUAAGUAGCCUGAAGUUUAAUUAGUAGAAAAAUAUGCAAUAGCUAAGGUCAAUAAUUGACCUUGGAUAUUUUGCUAAAGCAAUUUUUGAAUAGGUUCAAACUCAGUAUCAAACAAAUGCUUGCACUAGUAUAGCACAAAGAUAAUUCUAAAAA
This 295-nucleotide long non-coding RNA is filed under the name Mytilus galloprovincialis (Mediterranean mussel). The record is from RNAcentral. Lineage: Eukaryota; Metazoa; Mollusca; Bivalvia; Mytilida; Mytilidae.